Molecule: non-coding RNA, 92 nt
Organism: Acanthosepion pharaonis
Lineage: Eukaryota; Metazoa; Mollusca; Cephalopoda; Sepiida; Sepiidae
Source: the annotation of a GenBank genome assembly
AUGAUCAUAUCGCGUUGAAACACCGCUUCCCGUUCGAUCACCGAAGUUAAGCAAUGUGGAGCCUGUUCAGUACCUACUUGGGUGACUGCUUG